AGUGAACGCUGGCGGUAGGCCUAACACAUGCAAGUCGAACGGCAGCACAGUAAGAGCUUGCUCUUACGGGUGGCGAGUGGCGGACGGGUGAGGAAUACAUCGGAAUCUACUUUUUCGUGGGGGAUAACGUAGGGAAACUUACGCUAAUACCUCAUACGACCUACGGCUGAAAGCAGGGGAUCUUCGGACCUUGCGCGAUUGAAUGAGCCGAUGUCGGAUUAGCUAGUUGGCGGGGUAAAGGCCCACCAAGGCGACGAUCCGUAGCUGGUCUGAGAGGAUGAUCUGCCACACUGGAACUGAGACACGGUCCAGACUCCUACGGGAGGCAGCAGUGGGGAAUUUUGGACAAUGGGCGCAAGCCUGAUCCAGCCAUACCGCGUGGGUGAAGAAGGCCUUCGGGUUGUAAAGCCCUUUUGUUGGGAAAGAAAAGCAGCAGGUUAAUACCCCGCCGUUCUGACGGUACCCAAAGAAUAAGCACCGGCUAACUUCGUG
This 492-nucleotide ribosomal RNA is filed under the name uncultured bacterium. RNAcentral describes it as "partial 16S ribosomal RNA". It matches the Rfam family "Bacterial small subunit ribosomal RNA", at positions 29 to 507 of the family's 1533-position model. The record is from RNAcentral.